This is a non-coding RNA of Macaca mulatta (Rhesus monkey), 2178 nucleotides long. The record is from RefSeq and is a predicted model, not a curated record. Lineage: Eukaryota; Metazoa; Chordata; Mammalia; Primates; Cercopithecidae.
AAGGCUCCUGUGUCACAUAAAACUUGUAUGAAAUACAUUUGUGUGCUUUGCUCUUGCUAACCUGUCUUUUGUUAUAGGGGUGUCAGCCAUGAACUUUGUAAGGGGUAUGGAGAAAUAUUUUCCUACUUAUAAAAGGAACCGAUCCCCCAGCAGAAAGGGACCCAGUGACAGGUUCCUCCAGGACCCAGCUCUGAAGAGCUUCUUGGGAAGCUUCUUUGAAACGGUAGCAGGAACUUUUAAAUAUGGACAUUUUAUUUUUAAAGUUAGAAUUCUGGAAUGGAGCCCAAUGAGGGGAUUCGUGGCCUACCCAAGCCAUACCGCUCUUGCGGUGGGAUGGAUGAGGAACCUGAGGCCAAGGACUUCGCGAACAUGCUGAGGGAGCCCCUCACAGCAUGGAGCCAGGACACACAGCUCUCAGAAAGUAAUUUUCCAUUUAGACGUGCUCCUUGGCUAAUUAACGAAUCAAGCGGGCCAGCAGUCUGGACAAGGAGACAAGGAGCACCCCACAUGUUACAACACAGGUAAAGAACCAGCAGCACAUAGAAGGGACUUGCCAGGUGACUGUGGAAGAAAGGAGGAAGUCACUAUUUGCUUAUGAGGAGCAUAUAGUCUAAAUUUCAAGCCUUCUCAUUUCUCCAUUUUCUUAUCAGGUUUCUUUUAAUCAGAUCUUAAAGCAAAGACAGAAGCUGAAAACAUUUAUAGUAAAUAAUCAGCAAAGAACUCUGAAAGCUUCGCCGACCAGAACCCCGGAAGGAGCCGGCCUGGUACUACCAGGCAUGACUGGCUUUAGUGGAUUUAACAAUAAAAAAGAAGAUGGCGCCAAAUGACCAAACUACACGCAACCUUCCCUUCCCACAAGAAGAGUGGAUAAAACUUUCCACUGGGGCUGGGGGAGGAGGCAGGGGACCAGUCCAGAGAGAUAAAAUGCUACUUAACACAACAAUGUGGAUAGCAUUUAGGCCACAUGCAAAUUUCAUCCACAGAGCUUGCAAAUGGCAUGCAAUUUACUGCUCAGAGGAUGUAACCUAUUUGAGUCUAGAGAGCUAAUUAAUAAAAGUCUAAAAAGAAUGCAGAGUUAAUCGCCAUCUAUCUCCUGGGCUAUUUCAACUUGGUUUUUUACAGUUGCUGUUAAACAAAAUUCUAAAUACUGUCAUAGCAAUCAGUUAUUAGUUACCUUAACAAGGUGCAAGUUGGUGUUGGUCAAAGUUAAAUCCUUUUUUAAAAAAAAAAUACUUGAAAAAGUUGAAGCUGCUCUUCUCUUUACAGCAUGUUCUGUGAUGGAUAAAAAUUGCAUCUAUAAAGGUUUCAAGCCAGGUCACAUUUAGAAAGUAAUAGUAAAUAACAGUAACUGGCAAAACACAGUCCUAGGUCUUACUUGCAAUUGCUCAAGUUGAAACAAUUGAAUACAGUCUUCAAAAACCAUACUCUCAUUUACAGAUAUGAUUGGGCACAUGGGAUUUCAAUCAUGCUCCUUCAUUGCUGAGAAUCAUGAAAUUAAAAUGGUAGUAAUUUUUACCUCUCACUUUUCUCUUGCCUUUUUCUUCCUUUAAGCAUGCCUGCACUAAGUAAUUUUUGCUUUUCACCGAUAACGAGAAGUUAAAGCCAGAUUAUUUUCUUUGGGACGACCUGUCAGUGAUUGCAAGAAUAUAGUUCAAAACAUCCUGUAACUGAUAUAUACGCAGCCCACCCUAAAUCCUGUCUCCCCUGAAGCUUGCUGAAGGAAAGUGUGACGCCUCUCCAUUCUGACCUGGUAUGUAUGCUUCUGGAAUCCUGAAGCUGAGAAUGAACUAUAUCCGCUUUGCAGUAAUGAGGCUUAAAAUGUCAAAGAUUCUAUAAGAGAUUUUUGAGUGGAUAAGAUACCUGAUGAAUUUAUAUGAAGGUGCUGGGACCCCAGAUUCCAGUCAGAGUGUACUUCCUAAGGACCCCCAGAUUCCAGUCAGAGUGUACUUACUAAGGACGGGAGGGGUGAUGCUUGGGGUGUGAGGGCAAUUUUAUGGAAAGUCCUUCCAAACCUGAGGGGGCAGACCUGGAAAAUGCAGGUUUCACCUUGGCCUCAGUCCCAAAGGUGCAUCUGUACCACUGACUUUUGUCAGGAUGAAUGAUGGUGCUGAGUAAUUUCAGGAAAGCAACUCAUCUGCCCAAAUAUGAUAUGACUGCCAAAAUAUUCAGAAUAAUGUA